UGAAAGCAAAAGUUUCCUGAAACUUCGUGUU
Molecule: non-coding RNA, 31 nt
Filed under: Mus musculus (house mouse)
Lineage: Eukaryota; Metazoa; Chordata; Mammalia; Rodentia; Muridae
Source: RNAcentral